This 651-nucleotide ribosomal RNA is filed under the name Triticum aestivum (bread wheat). Its description in RNAcentral is "partial small subunit ribosomal RNA". Lineage: Eukaryota; Viridiplantae; Streptophyta; Magnoliopsida; Poales; Poaceae. The record is from RNAcentral.
AUGGCUGCCUCCUCCACUCGGCCCCUGAACCCUGCCGCUCCUCCCUUCCUCCCCGUAGCCUCCGCCCCCCCGAUGCUCUGCCCCCCGGCUUCUUCCUCCUUGGCGGUUGGCUUUCCCCUCCCGCCGCAGUGCCUGCUGCCGCCGCCGUGCGCGUUGUCCGUCCCACCCUUGCCAUGGGUGCAGGUGCCUCCUCCCCCUCCGUGUCAGGUAACUGUGAAGCGGAGGAUAAUGUCGAUUCUGGACCAGCACUGCGCCGAGGAGAACGAGAAACUCCGGCGGGGCGUCGACGGCCGCGGCAAGGCCGUUAAGUCGGAGUACGAUUUCCUCUACGUCCCAAUCGACUUCAGAACGAAGUACAACAAGGGGUACGCCUUCGUCAACAUGACGACGGCGACGGCGGCGCGUCGGCUGCACGCGUUCCUCCACGGCCAUUCAUGGGCGGCGACGGGCUCCAAGAAGGUGUGCGAGGUCGUGCACGCAAGCAUCCAGGGUGCUGAUGCGUUGGUGAAGCACUUCUCGGGCUCCAAGUUCCCCUGCGGCAACGGGAACGAGGAGUUCCUGCCGGUGCGCUUUGGGCCGCCGCGGAGCGACCGCAGGCAGACGGCGGAGCGCGUGAUCGGCCAGGCGGUGGUCCGUGGAGCCCGCUGCUGA